UGAGUUUGCGCCUGCGCGUCCCUAGAGCCCGGGGACUUGGCUGACAAAGAUGGCGGCCUUAGCAACGGCUGGCGAUUGCGGUUGGAUGCCGGACUCAGUGUCGGGGCAACAGCAGCAGGUGCUCAACGCCGGCCGCGGGGAGUCGGGUGGGAAAGCCGCCUUCAGCCGGGAGCUCCGCAAACUCCGCCUGCAAAUAGCCAGUUUGGAAAAGGACAAGAGUACCCAUCUUUUCAAUAGAAGGAAUGAGUUUAGAGCUGAAUAUAGCACUCUUGAAGAACUGGAGCUGAAACUGACAAACAACAGAAAAACAGAAAAGUUGAAGGUUCAACAACAACUUGCAAAAAUACACCAUAACGUGAAGAGAUUCCAGAGCCAGCUAAUGGAUGUCAAGCCCACUCCAGAAUUUAUAGAAAAGUUGAGAGAAAUCAUGGAAGAAGUUGAAGAUGCAAUCAGUGUCUUUAAAGAAGAACAACGGCAGAUAUAUGAAGAACUUCUGAAGGAAGAAAAGACUAGCAGUCAGGAAAUUUCAGCUGUGGAAAAAAGAAUAGAAGUAUGGGCCCAGACUCCAACAGCAACUGUGACACCCAAGACUACUUUAGCAAAAGGAGUAUCAAUUAAAUCUGGUCCAGACAAUGUAUUGGCUGAAAUUGCAGAAUUUGAUAAGUUCCUUCAGCGGACUGGACGCCAAGGUGGCUGGGAUGAUUUUGACCAUCAAAACUUUCUCAAGGUCUGGAUAAAACACAAAGGAAAAGCAUCAUUCAUUGAAGAGGCUCUGCAAUAUUUGGUUGGGAGGACCCAUGAGGAUAUAAUGCAGCACGUGCAAUGGUACCAAGAGUUUCUCUUUCUGGAAGAGAGGCAGAAAGAGGCUAUUCAGAAAUGGAAAACAAAAAAGCACUAUGAAAAAGUGAAGCUGCUGAGGAUGCAAGAAGAGGCAGAAGGGGAACUGGAUGCAGUGCAUCUAGCUGAAGAAAAGGCAAAACAGCUCAGACUUGAGAAGGAGAGAAAAGAAAGGGAAGCUCAGCUGCAAUCAUGGAAGAAACAGAAAGAACUGGAACUUGCUCUUGAGAAAGAGCAACAAAUGAAGGAAGAAAUAGAGAAAAUGAGAAGGCAAAGGAAGGAAAAUCAGAGGCGGCUCGAAAUAAAAAGAAUGCUCAAAGAUUGUGCUGAACAAAAGAAGGAGAAGGAGGAGUUUCUGCGACUGGAAGCGCAAACGAGAGAGGAAGCUGAAAAAGAAGAAAGACAGUGGCUUGUAGCAAGGGAAAUCUCCAGGUUUCAAGAAAGGGAUUUUCAAAAGUUGGAGUGCAAAUUGGCAGAGAAAAGAACAAAGCAAGAGGAGAAGGAUGAACGAGAGAAGAGAUUGGCCAAGCUGAAAGAGAAGCUCUGUUCUUCAAUCAUCCUACACGGACGAGGAGGAACUGUCUUGUUUAACCAUGGUUCAGCAUCCGAAAGAACUGAAACUGCUGCUCCAGUAUCUGACUUAAAAGAGAGGUUUAACGCGUUAAACUGGAUUAUGCUGUAAAUCUACCCAGGUUGAUGCUCAAAUACAACGAGACCCGUCUAGACUAUUGAAACCUACUAAAGGCUGGGCGGAACACAUCAAAGAUACAGGCCAAAAUGGUGGUGGGCCUAUGCUGUUUCUUCCCCAUCGGGCUAUUCCAUCUUGGAGGCAAGGGAUCUA
RNA transcript from Carcharodon carcharias (great white shark), 1678 nucleotides. It is a transcript of the gene named coiled-coil domain-containing protein 112-like, with no coding region annotated. The record is from RefSeq and is a predicted model, not a curated record. Lineage: Eukaryota; Metazoa; Chordata; Chondrichthyes; Lamniformes; Lamnidae. The transcript has 11 exons.